CCAUAGCCCUGAUGGGAACGGCAUCCUUUUUCUUGGUUGCCUCGGCCUACGCUAUGGCACCGAGAAAAAGAUAUAGUGGACAGCAGGUUCCCGG
Molecule: small RNA, 94 nt
Filed under: Epilithonimonas lactis
Lineage: Bacteria; Pseudomonadati; Bacteroidota; Flavobacteriia; Flavobacteriales; Weeksellaceae
Description: Chryseobacterium halperniae Flavo-1 RNA
Rfam family: Flavo-1 RNA
Source: RNAcentral